GAUAAUACAUAUUCCAAUUGACCGAAUACAAAGCAAAGAUAUCCACGGAAGAUUUGUACUAUUUGGAUAUCCUCAACGAAGAGGCUACUAACAUGUACCGUCCAAGCUAAUAUUUCAAGCUUGCAGCAGUACCGUCCAAACGCGCUCCGGUUUUUGGACCGGCCCGUUCCAACCCUUUGAAUGGAUCAGACUGUAAAGACUCGCCAGUACAGAUGGCUUUCUAAGUGGAAUUUUCGUGACUUCGGAAGUGGAACGAGUCGCGAUAUUCGCUCCUCGAAAGAUGACAAAAGUUGAAAAUGGAAGGACGCAAUAUAGAAAACGCGGCUUGGGGGUGGUCCCUCAGGGGAGAGGGGAGAGCAUUAUUGCAUGGGACCCAUUGUGGUCGUUCCACUGACCUGACCUUUCUAGGCAAUUAAAUUUAAGCCUUCCACGAAAAGCGCACCGGCGAGGGUACAAAUCCCGUCCGCUGAUUUUCUGGUGAUAGGCGAGGGCUCCAUCCCCUUGCAGAUUAUCUUAGCGACGACCUUGGUCUUCCACUAAUCUCGUGACUAGUGCUGGCCUCCGCUUCCGCGCUCCUUCCUAAUUCCCCACGGUCAAAGCUGGUUCAUCUCCGAGGCCCCGCUCUCCUUGUGAACUUCUUUUCAUCGAUCCAACUGCGACCCUCUCUGUCGUCGAGCAGCGAGAUGAAGAACAUGAAACCACCACUUCUACUAUUCAUCUUCAUCUCGGUCUCGCUCGAAGCACUCCCGAUCUCAGUCACUGGCAACAACGUUGAAAUUUAAGCCUUCCACGAAAAGCGCACCGGC
Molecule: long non-coding RNA, 806 nt
Filed under: Eucalyptus grandis
Lineage: Eukaryota; Viridiplantae; Streptophyta; Magnoliopsida; Myrtales; Myrtaceae
Description: long non-coding RNA (EGRA_LNC007176)
Source: RNAcentral